GACGAACGCUGGCGGCGUGCUCAACACAUGCAAGUCGAACGGAAAGGCCCUGCUUUUGUGGGGUGCUCGAGUGGCGAACGGGUGAGUAACACGUGAGUAACCUGCCCUUGACUUUGGGAUAACUUCAGGAAACUGGGGCUAAUACCGGAUAGGAGCUCCUGCUGCAUGGUGGGGGUUGGAAAGUUUCGGCGGUUGGGGAUGGACUCGCGGCUUAUCAGCUUGUUGGUGGGGUAGUGGCUUACCAAGGCUUUGACGGGUAGCCGGCCUGAGAGGGUGACCGGCCACAUUGGGACUGAGAUACGGCCCAGACUCCUACGGGAGGCAGCAGUGGGGAAUAUUGCACAAUGGGCGGAAGCCUGAUGCAGCAACGCCGCGUGCGGGAUGACGGCCUUCGGGUUGUAAACCGCUUUCGCCUGUGACGAAGCGUGAGUGACGGUAAUGGGUGAAGAAGCACCGGCUAACUACGUGCCAGCAGCCGCGGUGAUACGUAGGGUGCGAGCGUUGUCCGGAUUUAUUGGGCGUAAAGGGCUCGUAGGUGGUUGAUCGCGUCGGAAGUGUAAUCUUGGGGCUUAACCCUGAGCGUGCUUUCGAUACGGGUUGACUUGAGGAAGGUAGGGGAGAAUGGAAUUCCUGGUGGAGCGGUGGAAUGCGCAGAUAUCAGGAGGAACACCAGUGGCGAAGGCGGUUCUCUGGGCCUUUCUUGACGCUGAGGAGCGAAAGCGUGGGGAGCGAACAGGCUUAGAUACCCUGGUAGUCCACGCUGUAAACGGUGGGUACUAGGUGUGGGGUCCAUUCCACGGGUUCCGUGCCGUAGCUAACGCUUUAAGUACCCCGCCUGGGGAGUACGGCCGCAAGGCUAAAACUCAAAGGAAUUGACGGGGCCCCGCACAAGCGGCGGAGCAUGCGGAUUAAUUCGAUGCAACGCGUAGAACCUUACCUGGGUUUGACAUGGAUCGGGAGUGCUCAGAGAUGGGUGUGCCUCUUUUGGGGUCGGUUCACAGGUGGUGCAUGCCUGUCGUCAGCUCGUGUCGUGAGAUGUUGGGUUAAGUCCCGCAACGAGCGCAACCCUUGUUCACUGUUGCCAGCACGUUAUGGUGGGGACUCAGUGGAGACCGCCGGGGUCAACUCGGAGGAAGGUGGGGAUGACGUCAAGUCCUCAUGCCCCUUAUGUCCAGGGCUUCACGCAUGCUACAAUGGCUGGUACAGAGAGUGGCGAGCCUGUGAGGGUGAGCGAAUCUCGGAAAGCCGGUCUCAGUUCGGAUUGGGGUCUGCAACUCGACCUCAUGAAGUCGGAGUCGCUAGUAAUCGCAGAUCAGCAACGCUGCGGUGAAUACGUUCCCGGGGCU
This 1346-nucleotide ribosomal RNA is filed under the name uncultured bacterium. Its description in RNAcentral is "bacterial SSU rRNA". It matches the Rfam family "Bacterial small subunit ribosomal RNA", at positions 28 to 1381 of the family's 1533-position model. The record is from RNAcentral.